Molecule: ribosomal RNA, 459 nt
Filed under: uncultured bacterium
Lineage: Bacteria
Description: partial 16S ribosomal RNA
Rfam family: Bacterial small subunit ribosomal RNA
Source: RNAcentral
CCUACGGGUGGCAGCAGUGAGGAAUAUUGGUCAAUGGGAGAGAUCCUGAACCAGCCAAGCCGCGUGAGGGAAGACGGCCCUAUGGGUUGUAAACCGCUUUUGCACGGGGAUAACACCCUCCACUUGUGGAGGUCUGCAGGUACCGUGCGAAUAAGGGCCGGCUAAUUCCGUGCCAGCAGCCGCGGUAAUACGGAAGGCCCGAGCGUUAUCCGGAUUCAUUGGGCUUAAAGGGAGCGUAGGCGGGCGUUCAAGUCAGCUGUAAAAUCGCGCGGCUCAACCGCGCCCCGCAGUUGAAACUGGACGCCUUGAGUUCACAACAGGCAGGCGGAAUUCGUGGUGUAGCGGUGAAAUGCAUAGAUAUCACGAGGAACCCCGAUUGCGAAGGCAGCCUGCCGGGGUGCGACUGACGCUGAGGCUCGAAGGUGCGGGUAUCAAACAGGAUUAGAUACCCUGGUAGUC